AUAAAAAAUCCACUUAUUUUGGGCUUUUGCAAAACCGGGUCACCUUUUUCGUUUUUGCAGAUUCGGUCCGCUUUUUCAGCAAACUGACCAAAAUACCCUUAUUACUUUUUCUCUUUCCUCUUUCUCUCUCCUCUUCGUUUCUGUCGUUCUUUUUUUUUUUUUCUCGCCGAAAAAAAAAAGGCGGACCGUCGCCUUCUUCUUCACCGUCGCCUCCCUCCUCACCAUCCUUCUUCACCGUCGCCCCCCUCCUCACCCUCCUCUCCACCGCCCGCGACCCCCUCCUCCUCUCCUCCGCCGCCGCGGACCCCCAGCCCGAUCCCGUCGCCGC
RNAcentral lists this long non-coding RNA (328 nucleotides) under Ananas comosus (pineapple). RNAcentral describes it as "long non-coding RNA (ACOM_LNC028815)". The record is from RNAcentral. Lineage: Eukaryota; Viridiplantae; Streptophyta; Magnoliopsida; Poales; Bromeliaceae.